This 434-nucleotide ribosomal RNA is filed under the name uncultured bacterium. RNAcentral describes it as "partial 16S ribosomal RNA". It matches the Rfam family "Bacterial small subunit ribosomal RNA", at positions 29 to 507 of the family's 1533-position model. The record is from RNAcentral.
AGCGAACGCUGGCGGCAGGCCUAACACAUGCAAGUCGAACGAACCUUUCGGGGUUAGUGGCGGACGGGUGAGUAACACGUGGGAACGUGCCUUUAGGUUCGGAAUAACUCAGGGAAACUUGUGCUAAUACCGAAUGUGCCCUUCGGGGGAAAGAUUUAUCGCCUUUAGAGCGGCCCGCGUCUGAUUAGCUAGUUGGUUGAGGUAAUGGCUCACCAAGGCGACGAUCAGUAGCUGGUCUGAGAGGAUGAUCAGCCACAUUGGGACUGAGACACGGCCCAAACUCCUACGGGAGGCAGCAGUGGGGAAUCUUGCGCAAUGGGCGAAAGCCUGACGCAGCCAUGCCGCGUGAAUGAUGAAGGUAUUAGGAUUGUAAAAUUCUUUCAACGGGGACGAUAAUGACGGUACCCGGAGAAGAAGCCCCGGCUAACUUCGUG